GACUGUACAAAGGUAGCAUAAUAAUUUGUCUUUUAAUUGAAGGCUGGUAUGAAUGGUUGGAUGAGAAAUAUACUUUCUUUAUUUUAUAUAAAAAAAUUGAUUUUUUAGUUAAAAAGCUAAAAUAUUUUUAUAGGACGAGAAGACCCUAUAGAACUUUACUUUGAUAUAAAUAUACUAUUUAUAUAUUUUUAAAAUUUUAUAUUUUUAUUAAAGUUUUGUUGGGGUGACAAAAAAAAUUAAAUAACUUUUUUUUAUUAAAUCAUUAAUUUAUGUUUUUUUGAUCCUUUAUUAUGGAAAAUAAGAUUAAGUUACCUUAGGGAUAACAGCGUUAUUUUUUUGGAGAGUUCAUAUUGAUAAAGAAGUUUGCGACCUCGAUGUUGGAUUAAAAUAAGUUACAGGGGUAUAAUAUUGUAUACUAGGUCUGUUCGACCUUUAAAUUUUUACA
RNAcentral lists this ribosomal RNA (445 nucleotides) under Adelphocoris reichelii. RNAcentral's name for it is "partial large subunit ribosomal RNA". The stretch from base 319 to 445 matches the Rfam family "Bacterial large subunit ribosomal RNA", at positions 2473 to 2600 of the family's 2925-position model. Lineage: Eukaryota; Metazoa; Arthropoda; Insecta; Hemiptera; Miridae. The record is from RNAcentral.